UACGGAGGGUGCAAGCAUUAAUCGGAUUUAUUGGGCGUAAAGGGCGCGUAGGCGGAUUGGUAAGUCAUAUGUGAAAUUCCAAGGCUCAACCUUGGAGCUGUAUGUGAAACUACCAAUCUAAGAGGUUAGGUGGAGAAAAUGGAAUUCCACGUGUAGCGGUGAAAUGCGUAGAUAUGUGGAAGAACACCGGUGGCGAAGGCGGUUUUCUAACCUAAACCUGACGCUGAGGCGCGAAAGCGAGGGGA
Molecule: ribosomal RNA, 245 nt
Filed under: uncultured Neochlamydia sp.
Lineage: Bacteria; Pseudomonadati; Chlamydiota; Chlamydiia; Parachlamydiales; Parachlamydiaceae
Description: partial 16S ribosomal RNA
Rfam family: Bacterial small subunit ribosomal RNA
Source: RNAcentral